Long non-coding RNA from Felis catus (domestic cat), 654 nucleotides. RefSeq lists it as uncharacterized. The transcript has 5 exons. NCBI's taxonomy places the organism in Eukaryota, Metazoa, Chordata, Mammalia, Carnivora, Felidae. The record is from RefSeq and is a predicted model, not a curated record.
CCCUAUCAGAAUGUGGCUCUGAUGUCCUGAAAUCUCUGCAGCCCUACCUCUGCCAGGAGCAGCACAGGAAUCCACACCCAACUGAUGAGGAAACUAAGGCUCAGAAAGUUCAGGAAACUUGCCAAGAUUACCCACGUGGUUACGAAGAUCUCUGCAUCAGAAUAGAAGCUCAGAGCAGCACGGCAUCCUCAGCCCUCCUUCUCUCUUGAAGCAGACACUGAAAGACAGGAGCCGUCUCCAGGCUGGGAGGAAGGGCUAUGACGGUCAUCUACUGCCACGGCUCUCGAGGCUGACAUCACAACCAAGUGAGGACUUCUACGAGACACCCACACGCAGAGAAAUUUUACCUCAAGAAGCUCAUCCUCUGGCUGCAGAAGUUUCAGUGUAUCAACAGGACCACCUGGAACAAUUGAAGAUAUAUAGUGGUGUCCAUCAAAGGAAUCCACUUCCAUGCCAAGUCUCAGAGUGUGAAUGGGCAGCAACUGUAGCAAAACACAAGCAGUAACAUCAAACAUGACAAGGGCAUAUCCAACUGUUAAUCCCUCUGUCAAGUGUUAUUUUGGCAUGAAAGCCCCACCUCUUAAAUCAGAUCACGAAGAUCCCAGUAGAGGACAAUAAUGGGAAAACUAAUCACCAAUAACAUAUGCAACAUUU